RNAcentral lists this long non-coding RNA (5928 nucleotides) under Populus trichocarpa (black cottonwood). Its description in RNAcentral is "long non-coding RNA (PTRI_LNC004100)". The record is from RNAcentral. Lineage: Eukaryota; Viridiplantae; Streptophyta; Magnoliopsida; Malpighiales; Salicaceae.
UGAUAACCAGAAUGAAUUUUAGGCUAUCCCAAUCUCAUAUGGAUGGCAUCAAUCUGUUCAAGUGUCUCAGCAAUUUCUGUCAUUGAUGGCCGGAAGCGGGACUCCUGUUGAAGACAUUUAAUAGCAAGGUGAGCUAUUUGGGAAGCCUCUUUAGGAGGAUAUUUACCUUCCAACCGGGAGUCCAUUAUUUUUUUCAACUUUCUUCUGUUUGUCAGAUAAGGUUUAACCCAGUCAACAAGUAUCUGUUUCCCACUUGGACGUUUCAUGUCGAUUGCACGUAAACCAGUUAGCAUCUCAACAACAACAACUCCAAACCCGUAUACAUCACUCUUCACAUGCAAAUGUCCUAACCAACCAGCAGACCAGUUAGAGCAUGAAAUUAAGGUCAUGACAUAAGUUUUUAAAUCAGUUGUAAUCAAAGAGGUUGAAAACAAACUUAAACAACCAACACCAAUGUCAGAGAAAUUCAAUUUCAGAAGGAAUAAUAAGUACCUGUUGCAAGAUAUUCCGGAUCAAUGUAACCCAUCGUGCCUGCAAUUCUUGUACUGACAUGUGAAUCAAUCAAGGGACCCCAAAAUGACAAGCCAAAGUCUGAUAGCUUCGCGUUAUAGAACUAAAAUAAAAGGAGAAUUUGGAAGCAAAUAAGUCCUCUUGAAUAAUAAAACAAACACGUUCGGAAAGAUAACACUUUUUUUGCAUUCUCCAAUAACUAUUUUUUAUGAACUGGAAAUAACUCAUGGCAGGAGGAAAAGGAAUGUUCAGAUGGGUACAAGACUCUACAUAAAAAUUAUCAUACCACAAUGGCAAGAAAUUGGUCCAAUCAAUGGUGGAGUCAUGAAAUAGCAUCCAUAAUUUGUUAGAAAAUUAUAUAAAUUAUAUCUUGGAGUCUCACUUAAUAGCUUAAAUUUUUAGGCAAGAUAGUUAUUUGAUAUAGUAUCAAAGCCUUGUUGAUCAAGCGGUCACGAGUUCAAAUUUCACCAUCCUCAUUCUAUUUGAUAAAAAUUAAACACAAGGUAGAAUGGAUCUAUGCAAGUUUCAAACCCAAAAGGUUUUCACUUGAGGAGGUGUGUUAUAAAGUAAUAUAAAACUAUUCUUGAGACCUCAUCUAAUAACUUAAUCUUUUUGAUGAAGUGGUUCUUUAACAUGAUAUCAGAACCUUUUUGACCAAGAAGUCACGAGUUUAAAUCUCACUACCCCCAUUCUAUUUGAUAAAAAUUAAACACAAAAUAAUAUAGGCCUAUAUAAAUCAUAUCUUGAAAUCUCACCUACUAGUUUAAAUUUUUAGGUUAAGAUAGUUCUUUGACAUAAUUUCUAUAUUUCUGAGUUACAAUCUACAAGCUUCAUAGAAAACUUGCCUCAUCCAGUAGUAUAUUUGAGGACUUGAAAUCUCGGUAAAUUAUUGGUUUUUCCAAUGUGUGCAAGUAAGCCAGACCACGAGCAGUAUCUAUAGCAAUCUUGAGCCUAAUGUCCCAUGAAAGUGGUGGAACUGAGCGCUCUUAAAACAUGGAAAACAUGUAGAGAAUUAAGGAAAUGAAUAUUUAGAUGCAGAAGUGUAGGUUCUGCAAAAUGCUAAAAUUUACAAGCAGUCAUAAAUGUCUCUUACUUCCAAAGAGAUGGUAAUUUAAGCUUCCCUUUUUCAUGAAUUCAUAGACAAGGAUGCGCUCUCUACUUUCCGAACAAUAUCCCAAUAGCUUUACUAGGUUUGGGUGAGAAUGUGUUCCUAAGAAAUACACCUCAGCCUGCACCAACACAUGGACAAAUGAUUAAGCAAACAACUUAUACUGCUUAAAACAAAGAACUAGCUCCCGAAAGAGCACAUGCAUUUGGGUUAGUGAGGGAAAGACAGAAGGGGAAUGAGAGAGCCAGAGAGAAAUAGAAAAUGGUCACAAUUCCAAAGGUAUGAUAUCAAUAACUCAGAACUCCCUUAACCACCUCAAUAGAUAACUUCAAUUAAUGUACGAAAUCACAAAUACCAUGGAUUUUCUGUUCACUUGUGAAGAUGUCAGACAGAAUUUUUAGAAAUAUAACUUGAGUUAGUCCCAAGUCAUUUUACACAUUCACAUGGGAUAAAUAUUAAAAUGAGCUAUAAACUAUCAUUCCUCUUCCAAAAGACAUCUUGGAAGGUUCAGCAAAGAAAGAAUAUAAUGGAGCCUAUCUUUAAGCACAACAUAGAACAGUAUGACUGUAUGACAGAGAGUAAAUACAAAAUUUGGAAAUCCACAUACCUUCCACUCUUUUAAUCCUUGCAUGCUGAAAGAAUCCAAUUUCUUGAUAGCAACGGCCGUCUUCUUUAUACCCCUUGGAGGCAACUUCUCCUUAAGCCAACCCUUAUAGACAUCGCCAAAACCUCCUUUUCCCAACACCAUAUCAGAUCUAAAAUUAUAUGUUGCAGACCUCAGUUGCGCCAAUGUGAAUACUGUCACGCUUGAGUUGGUAGCAUUUUGCCCGUUUGCUAAAGUCCCAUCACCACUUCCAGUUGCAUCUGAGAAUUGGCUGCUCUCAGGGACAUUUUUACCCCAAAUAGUUGUGAAGCUGCUACUUGGAUGAGACAUCCAUGUUGUAAUGCUAGUGCUUGCUAUUGAGAACCAGCCGUUUCCAAAGUCAUCGCUACCUACAAAACAUGUACGACCAUUGCAUAAGCAUGCAAAACUCAAAUAAUCAGAAAAUGAAGUCACAAACAGAAAUUGGAACCAAUAUUUUCCAAAAAAUAAAAAAAUCUGCGCCCAACUAAUGGAUUUUUUUUUAAUAACUAGUAUUUUAUCCCAUUAGAAAUAUUGUUAAUUCCAUUAGAUUCAGUGAAUAUAUCGUGCGAUUACAGUUAGCAACGCAUUGAAGAGUCGAAAACACAAUGAGCAACCUUGUAAACGUUGCUAAAGGCAAAAGGAUGCCAUCUUAUCAUUGCUUCAAGGAUUGGAGAGACAAUUAGCAACGCCAAAAAGCAUUGACAUCAAUAAAAGGGUAGAGGGGCACCAACAAAAACGACUCAAUCACAGCCACAAACAUGUAAUGAGCAGAGGACAUGUAGUAAAAAAUAUCCAACCAAGUCGAAUGACAGAAGUGUAAGAGCAAAACCAAAACAAAACCAAUUUGAAACAUCCAAUGAAUAGUAGAAUUAAUGUAAAGAGAUGUUGAAAAUGAUUGUGGUGGUACCUGCACUGACAUGGUCGGCGGUGCUUGGUGUUGGGUCUUGAUCUUGUGUUGUAGCUGGCUUGUGAGCUGAACAGCUACAGCAAAUCCCCAUUAAUUAACAGCUGCUGUAAUCUGUGUUUCACUCUUCCCUUCUUGUCGUAAUGACCAUUGAUAUUUCCUGCAGUUCAUGAAAGAGAGGGAGAGGAACAGAAAGUGACCAUGCCAAGGGAACAGACAUCUUUUUUGACGUUGACUUUGAAAAUGGAAGUAGAGCUUGAAUAUCAUUAGGUGGCAGUGCUUCUAACUUACUACUAAAAUAUAUAAAGGUUGAUAGUAUAUUACAGUAUUUCAUCCUUCUAGUUUUUAUGUUUUCUCAAUAUGGUCCUUUGAGUAUUUUAUUAAUAAGUUUUUAGUUGUAUUUUAAUGGAUUAAGAGUCUAUUUGUUUUUACGUUUCAAAAGCGUUUUUAAAAAAUUUUAAAUUUUUAUUUAUUUUUACUUAAAAUUAAAUUUUUUUGGUAUUUUAAAAUCAUUUUGAUAUCAAAAAUAAAUUUUUAAAAAUUAAAAAAAUAUUAUUUCGAUACAUUUCCAAGUAAAACGCACUUUGAAAAACAAUCGGUACCAUAAUAUCUAAUAAGCGAAUAAUUUUAAGUUAAUUAAAAAAAUUAGUAAGCUAAGAAAUGGAUUUUCAUAUAUUUCUCAAUAUAUUUAAUUCCUUAUUUAUUUUCAUUUAUAUAAUGGUUUACUUGUUAAGCAUGCUAAAAAAUUAAAUAGUCCGAAGUGGGACUAGUGUUAUUAACCCAAGCUAGUCCAAUUAAUACAAGACUUAACUCAAGUUGAGUUUCAUAUCAAACUGAGUAAAUAUUAACUCAAUCAAAUCUAGUUAGCAUAGUAAGUCAAACUACAACCCAAUUAACUCACUCAAAAUCUCAAUAAUAUCGAUUUGAUUUUUUUUAAUCUAAAAUGAUAUCUUUUAAAUUUUUUAUAUAUAAAAAACUCUUAUAAUAAUAUUAUUAUCGAUUUAGAUUGACUCAUUCAAUCCAUACUCGAGAGUUUUAGAUCGAAGCAUGAGUUUGACAGAAUCUUAUAACUAUAGCGGGAACUUGCUUAUAUGCGCUGCAUAUAGUCUUUGGAUUGAAGGAACUAUUACUUACAUUUAUUCUUGAAUCAUCAUUGAUAUGAGGUUUAUCAUCAUCACCAGAUAAAACACAUUGAUAUGAGGUAUCAUGCAAUUGAUUAAAUCAUCAUUGAUGGUGUAGUUUCAAAUCAUGAAGUGGCUAUUGCACAGAAUUACAGCUUCUAGGUUCAAUAAAUCAUUUAUCUUUGAAUGUCGUGUUUGAUAAUCAUUAAUGAUCUUCUUUAUUGUAAUUUAAUUCGUCUUAUUAAGAUUUUUCCGAUAAUACAAGAGUGUUGUCUUCAAAGUUUUGAUAUACUUUCAGCAUCUUUUUUUUUUUUCCCUCACAUCUCUCCUCUCUUUCUUGGAAUUUAUGUAAGCUCUUAUUCUAUUUAGCAAAAGUUUUUUUUUUUUUUACCUGUAUUAUUGUCAAAAAACAAAUUUCAAACUAAUUUUCAAAAAUCCAUCUAUUACUUCAAUAGUAUGGUGAAUUAACGGCUGUAACUUCAAAAGUAUGGUGUUUAUGAAUGUUCUUCGUGUCACUGUAACAACAAAUAGGUCUAAUCACUGGAACCGAGUCGCAGCGCAGCAUUCAUAAUAUAACAUCUGCCAUUGAUCUCCUAAAAUGGCUACGGAAAGGUAGAUACAUGAUCAUUAAAAAAAAAAACAAAAUAAACGGAGGGUUUCAGGGAUAAUGUUAUCUGAUUAAGUUACAUAGAACCUUAUCUCGUCCAGGACUAUAUUUGAGGACUUGAAAUCUCUGUAUAUUAUUGGCUAUUCCAAUGUGUGCAAGUAAGCCAGGCCUGUAGCAGUAUCCUUCACAAUCUUCAUCCUCAUAUCCCACGGAAGUGGUGGAACUGGCCGCUCUUCAAACAUGGUAACAAAGAAGAAAGUGAAUGUCUAACCGCAGAAAAUACAAAAUGGGAGAAAGAAAAGUUAUGUCGUGACACCAAAUUGCCUAUUUGUUUGUGCGGCCUAAAUCCACUUUUCCAAUAAAGCAUAAACAGGCUUCCAAUGAUUACAGAUUCUUUGCUAAAAAUACUCAAAUCAAUACAAGUCCAGCAGUGCAAUGACAGAAAUGACUGUAUCACAUUGCCAAGGAAAAUUGAACUACUGCAUGAAUACAACAAAUGAUAAGCGUACAUGGUAAGAUGCGCCAAACACGCCCAACUCUUUCUGCUACAGCUAGUCACAUAAACUCAAAGCAUUUCAUGAUAGCUAAUUAUGUAUUCUCGUGUAAGUUAUAUGAAGAAAGUAUACCAGAGAUCUCUCAUCUGUGAUGACAACUAAUGAAGAAGAGUACUAAAACACUACAAACCACUAUGAUAACCAGAAUGAAUUUUAGGCUAACCCAAUCUCAUAUGGAUGGCAUCAAUCUGUUCGACUGUCUCAGCAAUUUCUGUCAUUGAUGGCCGGAAGCGGGGAUCGUGUUGAAGACAUUUAAUAGCAAGGUGAGCUAUUUGGUAAGCCUCUUUGGGAGGAAAUUUCCCUUUCAACCAGGAGUCCAUUAUAUUUUUCAACUUGCUUCUGUUUGUCAGAUAAGGUUUAGCCCAGUCAACAAGUAUCUGUUUCCCACUUGGACGUUUCAUGUCGAUUGCAUGUAAACCAGUUAGCAUCUCAACCAUAACAACUCCAAACCCGUACACAUCACUCUUCACAUUCAAAUGUCCUAACCAACCAGCACAAC